Molecule: long non-coding RNA, 3016 nt
Organism: Pecten maximus
Lineage: Eukaryota; Metazoa; Mollusca; Bivalvia; Pectinida; Pectinidae
Exons: 2
Source: RefSeq, a predicted model, not a curated record
CAAGCGGGGGGUAUCCAGCCUGUCGUCAUGGCACCAGCUCCGGAGGAUAACAUGGUCAGAGCUAUAAUUGCGACGUUUUUCUGCUUCUGGCCGAUUGGGAUGUUCGCAAUAUGGAAAGCUAUGGAAUCGAAGUCCGCUUACAACCGAGGGGACAUGGCGAUGGCCCAUGCUAACGCUAACUCUGCCAGACAACUCUCCAAUGUGGCCAUUGGGUUUGGCGCUUGCACCAUAAUUGCCGUCUUCAUCUACAUUAUUGUGUUGUACUCUGUGAUAAUAUAGGUGUGAUAUACGUCACAAAGACACGUAAUCAUAUAUUGUGAGCGCUAGUCAACCCGUCACAAAGACACGUAAUCAUAUAUUGUGAGCGCUAGUCAACCACACGUAUAUAAUGGCGUGUAUAUUUUUAUUCUACAUUUCAUAAUUAAGAUAAUCUGUCCGUGAUUAUGUGUUAUUCAGAUAAUCUGUCCGUGAUUAUAUGUUUUCAGAUAAUCUGUCCGUGAUUAUGUGUUAUUCUGAUAAUCUGUCCGUGAUUAUAUGUUUUCAGAUAAUCUGUCCGUGAUUAUGUGUUAUUCAGAUAAUCUGUCCGUGGUUAUGUGUUAUUCUGAUAAUCUGUCCGUGAUUAUAUGUUUUCAGAUAAUCUGUCCGUGAUUAUGUGGUAUUCAGAUAAUCUGUCUGUGAUUAUGUGUUAUUCAGAUAAUCUGUCCGUGAUUAUGUGUUAUUCAUAUAAUCAGUCCGUGAUUAUAUGUUAUUCAGAUAAUCUGUCUGUGAUUAUGUGUUAUUCUGAUAAUCUGUCCGUGAUUAUGUGUUAUUCAGAUAAUCUGUCCAUGAUUAUGUGUUAUUCUGAUAAUCUGUCCGUGAUAAUGUGUUAUUCAGAUAAUCUGUCCGUGAUUAUGUGUUAUUCAGAUAAUCUGUCCGUGAUUAUGUGUUAUUCAGAUAAUCUGUCCGUGAUUAUGUGUUAUUCAGAUAAUCUGUCCGUGAUUAUAUGUUAUUCAGAUAAUCUGUCCGUGAUUAUGUUAUUCAGAUAAUCUGUCCGUGAUUAUAUGUUAUUCAGAUAAUCUGUCCAUGAUUAUGUUAUUCAGAUAAUCUGUCGUGAUUAUGUGUUAUUCAGAUAAUCUGUCCGUGAUUAUGUGUUAUUCAGAUAAUCUGUCCGUGAUUAUAUGUUUUCAGAUAAUCUGUCCGUGAUUAUGUUAUUCAGAUAAUCUGUCCGUGAUUAUGUGUCAAUCAGAUAAUCUUUCCGUGAUUAUGUGUUAUUCAGAUAAUCUGUCUGUGGUGGUGUGACUGACCAUUAAGUAACCAGAACUGUGUCAACUUUCAGACAAUACGUUACAUUAACAAGAUACAGAGAGCCAACACGACAAUGUAAUCAUAUGAUAUAACAUGCGAAUAAAGCCGAGAGUGAUGUAAAAUCACCAAUCGAAUCCGUAGUCGCCAGUGACAUAAUGUUUCAACGACAACCAAGAAAAACAUGAGUAUAAAUACACGAGAGGUAUAACUACACCAGAAGUAUAAAUACACGAGAAGUAUAACUACACCAGAAGUAUAAAUACACGAGAGGUAUAACUACACCAGAAGUAUAAAUACACGAGAAGUAUCAAUACACGAGAGGUAUAAAUAUAUGAGAAGUAUAAAUAGAUGAGAUAUAUAAUAUAUGAGAAGUAUAAAUACAUGAGCAGUAUAAAUACAUGAGAUAUAUAAAUAUAUGAGAAGUAUAAAUACAUGAGAAGUAUAAAUACAUGAGCAGUAUAAAUACAUGAGAUAUAUAAAUAUAUGAGAAGUAUAAAUACAUGAGAAGUAUAAAUACACGAGAGGUAUAAAUACACCAGAAGUAUAAAUACACCAGAAGUAUAAAUACAUCAGAAGUAUAAAUACACGAGAAGUAUAACUACAUCAGAAGUAUAUAUACACCAGAAGUAUAAAUACACCAGAAGUAUAAAUACACCAGAAGUAUAACUACAUCAGAAGUAUAAAUACACCAGAAGUAUAAAUACAAGAGAUGUAUAACUACACCAGAAGUAUAAAUACACAAGAAGUAUAAAUACAUGAGAAGUAUAAAUACAUCAGAAGCAUCAAUACAUCAGAAGUAUAAUUACACCAGAAGUAUAAAUACACGAGAAGUAUAAAUACACGAGAGGUAUACAUACAUGAGAAGUAUAAAUACACGAGAGGUACCAAUACAAGAGAAGUAUAAAUACACCAGAAGUAUAAAUAUAUGAGAAGUAUAAAUACACGAGAAGUAUAAAUACAUGAGAAGUAUAAAUACAAGAGAUGUAUAACUACACCAGAAGUAUAAAUACACAAGAAGUAUAAAUACAUGAGAAGUAUAAAUACACGAGAAGUAUAAAUACAUGAGAAGUACAAAUACACCAGAAGUAUAAAUACAUGAGAAGUAUAAAGACAUGAGAAGUAUAAAUACAAGAGAAGUACAAAUACACCAGAAGUAUAAAUACACGAGAUGUAUAAAUACACGUGAAGUAUAAAUACACGAGAAGUAUAAAUACACGAGAAGUAUAAAUACACGAGAAGUAUAAAUACAUAAGAAGUAUAAAGACAUGAGAAGUACAAAUACAUGAGAAGUAUAAAUACAUGAGAUAUAUAAAUAUAUGAGAAGUAUAAAUACAUGAGAAGUAUAAAGACAUGAGAAGUAUAAAUACAUGAGAAGUAUAAAUACAUGAGAAGUAUAAAUACACAAGAAGUAUAAAUAAAUAGUUAACAAUCACCAAAAUUGUUCCCUUUUGGGGCCCCGCCCCUGGGGUUAUAGAAUAAUAAUGAUUGUCCUCACGCUAUGAUGUUUCACACCAAAUUUGGUUGUAAUCCAUCAAAGGGUUAAGAUGGAGUAGGGUUUUUAAGCAAGAAUUCACCAAAGUUCCCUUUUUCGGGCCCCGCCCCUCGGGCCUCAGGGGGUCUGACCAGCCUCUUUUAUAUAAAAUAUUAUUGCCCGCCCGCAAUGAUGCUUCAAACCAUAUGGCCUAAGACUGAAUGUCCUGUUAUCUAGAUCAAUAAAUGCCGAACAAUCUGA